UGUCAAUUAAUUACAAUCUUGUUUGGAUUAAAUAAUUAAUGAAUUCCUCGCCUACAUUCAUAAUGCAUGAGUAGCAUGUUCACGUUUUUAUUUGAAUGAGUAAACAACCAAGGCACAUAACAUCAUUAACAACAUAAAAAUAAUCUAAGCUAAAAGAAUGCAAUCAAUCUAAGAACAAAAAAAUUAAGUCAUUUUAAUUAAAUUAAAAAGCAGAAAAUAUUUAGCAAUCAUGUUCAUCAAUUUAAAACAAAAUAAAAAGUUAAAAAUGGAAAGCAACUAGAAUACAAAUCUGGUGUUUCUCCAUUACUCAGCUUGUGUUCUUUUCCUCCUUCCUUCUACUUUUUUCCUUCAUGCAAUUGCCUUCAAGAUGUUGAAUUUUGCUGCUCAAAGAACUUCUGCAAUGCUUCCCUCAAACUCUUGUGUUACUCUCUCAAAUGGGAAGUUAAAGAAUGAAGAAUGGAUGCUGAAUUUUUCUACUCAAAGAACUUCUGCAAUGCUUCCCUCAAACUCUUGUGUUGCUCUCUCAAAUGGGAAGUGAAAGAAUGAAGAAUGGGAGAAGAGAUGGUGAGUGAGGGAUGAGUGAAAUGACUAAAUAGCUAGCCCAUAUUUAUACUUGUACAGGCUGGCUAUUUUUAGCAAAUGAGAGCCUCAAAUUUCUCUUCAUGGGUGGUCAACCCUUGAUUUAAGGAGAAUGAAUGGAUCGCUUUGAAAUUUGUUGGAAAAAUUGUUUG
RNAcentral lists this long non-coding RNA (731 nucleotides) under Gossypium barbadense (sea-island cotton). RNAcentral describes it as "long non-coding RNA (GBAR_LNC015612)". The record is from RNAcentral. Lineage: Eukaryota; Viridiplantae; Streptophyta; Magnoliopsida; Malvales; Malvaceae.